Molecule: ribosomal RNA, 433 nt
Filed under: uncultured bacterium
Lineage: Bacteria
Description: partial 16S ribosomal RNA
Rfam family: Bacterial small subunit ribosomal RNA
Source: RNAcentral
AACGAACGCUGGCGGCAUGCCUAACACAUGCAAGUCGAACGAAGCCUUCGGGCUUAGUGGCGCACGGGUGCGUAACGCGUGGGAAUCUGCCCCUUGCUUCGGAAUAACAGUUAGAAAUGACUGCUAAUACCGGAUGAAGUCUUCGGACCAAAGAUUUAUCGGCAAGGGAUGAGCCCGCGUAGGAUUAGGUAGUUGGUGGGGUAAAGGCCUACCAAGCCGACGAUCCUUAGCUGGUCUGAGAGGAUGAUCAGCCACACUGGGACUGAGACACGGCCCAGACUCCUACGGGAAGCAGCAGUGGGGAAUAUUGGACAAUGGACGCAAGUCUGAUCCAGCAAUGCCGCGUGAGUGAUGAAGGCCUUAGGGUUGUAAAGCUCUUUUACCAGGGAUGAUAAUGACAGUACCUGGAGAAUAAGCGCCGGCUAACUCCGUG